GAUGAACGCUGGCGGCGUGCCUAAUACAUGCAAGUCGAGCGAACGGACGAGAAGCUUGCUUCUCUGAUGUUAGCGGCGGACGGGUGAGUAACACGUGGAUAACCUACCUAUAAGACUGGGAUAACUUCGGGAAACCGGAGCUAAUACCGGAUAAUAUUUUGAACCGCAUGGUUCAAAAGUGAAAGACGGUCUUGCUGUCACUUAUAGAUGGAUCCGCGCUGCAUUAGCUAGUUGGUAAGGUAACGGCUUACCAAGGCAACGAUGCGUAGCCGACCCGAGAGGGUGAUCGGCCACACUGGAACUGAGACACGGUCCAGACUCCCACGGGAGGCAGCAGUAGGGAAUCUUCCGCAAUGGGCGAAAGCCUGACGGAGCAACGCCGCGUGAGUGAUGAAGGUCUUCGGAUCGUAAAACUCUGUUAUUAGGGAAGAACAUAUGUGUAAGUAACUGUGCACAUCUUGACGGUACCUAAUCAGAAAGCCACGGCUAACUACGUG
This 497-nucleotide ribosomal RNA is filed under the name uncultured bacterium. RNAcentral's name for it is "partial 16S ribosomal RNA". It matches the Rfam family "Bacterial small subunit ribosomal RNA", at positions 28 to 507 of the family's 1533-position model. The record is from RNAcentral.